Phacochoerus africanus (Common warthog) is the source of this 1660-nucleotide long non-coding RNA. RefSeq lists it as uncharacterized. Lineage: Eukaryota; Metazoa; Chordata; Mammalia; Artiodactyla; Suidae. The record is from RefSeq and is a predicted model, not a curated record. The transcript has 4 exons.
UCUCCUGAUUAGUUGAUUGUACUGUUUAGUCCAGUACAAUCACUGGAUUGUAUCUGUUAUUUUGCAGGUACUGUAAAUUUGACCAUCUUGGAUUUAAGUCCACAGCACUUUCAUCACCAAGAAUUAGAAAGGAGGAAGCCUGAGGCUUGCUGGGCCAGACAUCUCAUAAUUCCAAGCAGUGGAAGCCCACCAGAAGAAAGGAGAUGAGAAGGCAAGAGCGGCCCUCGCUUUUCCAUCUCUUCCAACAUCCCCCGGGGCAGUUCUGCUCUCUGCAUUCUGCUGACACUUGGGACUAGAGCUGGGCUCCAUUGAACCAGUAGGUGCAUCGUGCAGAGACUGGACAUCACAGGCUUCCCCCACACCAGGUCUGAAGGAUAAAGGUACAAACAGCUGAGAAUACAAGCCAUGGACCAGAGCCCAGUGAAGUCACUACUUUGGGGGCCCAGAACUGUCAUCACUGUCUUUGCAAGUCCACAUUUCUGGAUGCUUGUGUGGACUCCGCACACCUGCAGCAUCUGGCUCAGGGCUGAGCACUUUGACUAGAACAGACCAGAUUCAAAUCCAGCUUGACCUCGGCACUGUGCAGUGGGCCAAACUUCUCUGAAGCUCAGUUUCUUUGACUGUGAAAUGGGAGAGGCUAUAACCACUUCUGGAUGUAGCAGGCAGCAAACUUUGAUGUGCACACAAACUGCCCAGGACCUUGUUACGACACGAAUUCAAACCCAGUAAAUCUGGGAUUAAGCUUGAGAUCCUGAAUUUCUAAGAAGCUACCAGCUGAGCCACACUCAGAGUGGGGACCACCCUCAGAGUAGCAAGAUUCUCCAGCCCACCACUUUGCUGAAACACCUGCCUGCUGCCAGCCGCCAGCCCAGCUGCUGUCACUUUGCUCUGUGCGGUAAGAGGAACUUCCGAGCCUGUGAGCUGCCAUGGUUUUAUUCUCAGCCUCCAUCUCUGUGUCUCACUGUUCUUCUUGCCCCACUUUUGCGGGUGUCCCUGGAACAUCCACACUCCUUUCUGCCUGGAACCCCCACAAGACUUCAAGGAUUGCAGGUUGGAGGCUUAUUGUCAUUCAUUAUCUCUUCAGUUACCUCCUGGUUUCCUUUUAACUUGUGGCUGUAGCUGUAUUCUUUCUGUGGAUUCAGUCUCUGCAGGAGCAGGAUGCAUCCAUACUUAAUGAGCUUUAUUCCUAUCUUCUGUAGUGGUAAGAAUUGAAUGAGAAUUUGAGAUAUUCUAUUUGUCAUCACUGCCUUUAGUGGAUGAACAAAGAGAAUCAUACCAUAUUUGAGCAGAGAACCAAAAGCAGAGAACAUGCAGGACAUUAGGCUUGCAGAUACUUGUCUAUAGAAAGGAGGGGAUCUGGAAAACUGUUUAAUAUCUCUCUCUACAAAAACGUCUGGUUUGCCCUGGGCUUGAAAUGAGUCAUGUCCACUGAAGGCUCUAAGACAGCCAUCACUCCAGCUACCUGCUUUGUGGAGGUUCUCCUCUGAGAGGGCAAAUGUCUGCUGUCAGAAUCACUACAUGCCAUUUUAUCAACCUGAGCCUGGCUGGCCUGUGACCAGCACUAGCCAUCCAACCAGAGAGAGAACAGAUGCUUACUGAACGUGGGUGUGCUAGGAUUACAUUUUCAGGCAGUGUUUGAAAACGUGUUACUAGCAAUUCC